RNAcentral lists this transfer RNA (82 nucleotides) under Sordaria macrospora. RNAcentral's name for it is "tRNA-Leu". It matches the Rfam family "tRNA". From Rfam's summary of the family: Transfer RNA (tRNA) molecules are approximately 80 nucleotides in length. Their secondary structure includes four short double-helical elements and three loops (D, anti-codon, and T loops). Lineage: Eukaryota; Fungi; Ascomycota; Sordariomycetes; Sordariales; Sordariaceae. The record is from RNAcentral. RNAcentral also lists the same sequence under 4 other names.
GGCUGGAUGGCCGAGCGGUCUAAGGCGCUAGACUCAAGUUCUAGUAUCGAAAGAUGCGUGGGUUCGAAUCCCACUCCAGUCA